RNAcentral lists this long non-coding RNA (296 nucleotides) under Callithrix jacchus (white-tufted-ear marmoset). RNAcentral's name for it is "lncRNA (ENSCJAG00000072228.1)". The record is from RNAcentral. Lineage: Eukaryota; Metazoa; Chordata; Mammalia; Primates; Cebidae.
GUUAAAUUCCAUAGAAUUGUUUUCUUGUUUACAUUAGUGACCAUAUCAGAGCACAGUGUACUCCUCUUGCCGUAUUCAGAGGAUUUGCCUAUGGGCAGCAACAUUAUUCUCUCGUUCUCUGGAUAUUAGGAACAAUAUCACAGGACCGGCGGACAGCCCCAGUCAUAUCUGAAAAUAUCACAGCACGGUGUACUCCUCUUGCCGUAUUCAGAGGAUUUGCCUAUGGGCAGAAACAUUCCCCUCUCCUUCUCUAAAUAUUAGAAACAUUAUCACAGGACCGGCAAACAGCAGCAGUC